CCUGUUCCCGGGUGGGGCUCCACGGUCUGGCUGGCGGGGAAGCAGGAGCUCUCUCUGAUUUACUUCUUUUUUUCGAGUUCAGGCAUAGCUUUGUUAUUUUUACCAAAAGGUUGCACGUCUGGAAGUAAUUAAAAGGGAAAGAAAUCCUAGUUGAAAGAAAGAACCAUAGAAAGAGAGCGAGGGAAGAAAGAGGUGCGCCUCCCACUUUGGGAACAUCUCUCUCCCCUCCUAUGAACACCUUGCAAUGGACAUUAAGUGUCUCCUACAUAGAGGGAUUGGCCCAAGGCCAUAGGCAACAUGUGGCAGAGAAGGCUGAGCCAGAUCCUGCUUUAAUUCUAGCUGGAUGCAGGUGCUUCUUCAUAGGAGAAAAUGGAAAGUCACCAGGUGCGGUGAAGCAUACAGCUUGAACGUCAACACUUCAUAUGUAGUGCUUUGCAUGCGGCUGCCUUUUCAUCCACAUGAGAAAGGUGUAGACUACGAGUGGAAUUCCUGGGCCAUAUGUUAACUCUAUGUUUAACCUGUUGAUGAACUGUUUUCCAAAGCAGUGCACCAUUUUCCCAAUAUCAAGGCACAAGGAUUAUUUUCUGGACUCUCUAUUGUUUGUUAAUCUACUUGUCUGUUAUUUCACCAAUACCAUACUAUCUUUAUUACUUUAGCUUAGAGCAAGUUCUUAAGUCAGGU
Long non-coding RNA from Callorhinus ursinus (northern fur seal), 681 nucleotides. RefSeq lists it as uncharacterized. The record is from RefSeq and is a predicted model, not a curated record. NCBI's taxonomy places the organism in Eukaryota, Metazoa, Chordata, Mammalia, Carnivora, Otariidae.